RNAcentral lists this ribosomal RNA (253 nucleotides) under uncultured bacterium. RNAcentral's name for it is "partial 16S ribosomal RNA". It matches the Rfam family "Bacterial small subunit ribosomal RNA", at positions 524 to 776 of the family's 1533-position model. The record is from RNAcentral.
UACAGAGGGGGCAAGCGUUGUUCGGAAUUACUGGGCGUAAAGGGCGCGUAGGCGGCCUGCUAAGUCGAACGUGAAAUCCCUGGGCUCAACCCAGGAACUGCGUCCGAUACUGGUUGGCUUGAAUCCGGGAGAGGGAUGUGGAAUUCCAGGUGUAGCGGUGAAAUUCGUAGAUAUUGGGAAGAACACCGGUGGCGAAGGCGGCGCUCUGGACCGAUACUGACGCUGAGGCGCGAAAGCGUGGGGAGCAAACAGG